Molecule: unclassified non-coding RNA, 248 nt
Filed under: fungal sp.
Lineage: Eukaryota; Fungi
Also listed under: 1 other name
Description: partial internal transcribed spacer region
Rfam family: Eukaryotic small subunit ribosomal RNA (bases 1-46)
Source: RNAcentral
AAGUCGUAACAAGGUAACCGUAGGUGAACCUGCGGUUGGAUCAUUAAUAAAAUUUAUAAAGGUUAAAUGUGUUUGAAAGAACCAUUUAUUCUUUAACAAAUUUGUGAAUUUAUUAAAGUCUUUUGGGUUAAUGUUUUUUAAAUGUUGACCCAAAAAUUUAUUAAACAAUUAUUUUUUAUCAAGUCUUUAAAAACAUUUUAAAUAUUAAAUUUAAAAAACAACUUUUGACAACGGAUCUCUUGGCUCUC